RNAcentral lists this ribosomal RNA (253 nucleotides) under uncultured bacterium. RNAcentral describes it as "partial 16S ribosomal RNA". It matches the Rfam family "Bacterial small subunit ribosomal RNA", at positions 524 to 776 of the family's 1533-position model. The record is from RNAcentral.
UACGUAGGUGACCAGCGUUGUCCGGAUUUACUGGGCGUAAAGAGCGCGCAGGCGGUCGUUCAAGUCGAGUGUGAAAGCCCCCGGCUCAACUGGGGAGGGUCACUCGAUACUGAUCGACUUGAAGGCAGGAGAGGGAAGCGGAAUACCCGGUGUAGUGGUGAAAUGCGUAGAUAUCGGGAGGAACACCAGUGGCGAAGGCGGCUUCCUGGCCUGUUCUUGACGCUGAGGCGCGAAAGCUAGGGGAGCAAACGGG